AGAGUUUGAUCCUGGCUCAGAAUCAACGCUGGCGGCGUGCCUAACACAUGCAAGUCGAACGAGAAAGUGGAGCAAUCCAUGAGUAAAGUGGCGCACGGGUGAGUAACACGUGACUAACCUACCCUUGAGUGGGGGAUAACCUAGGGAAACCUGGGCUAAUACCGCAUAACACCUACGGGUCAAAGGAGCAAUUCGCUUAAGGAGGGGGUCGCGGCAGAUUAGCUAGUUGGCGGGGUAAUGGCCCACCAAGGCGGUGAUCUGUAUCCGGCCUGAGAGGGCGCACGGACACACUGGAACUGAAACACGGUCCAGACUCCUACGGGAGGCAGCAGUGGGGAAUUUUGCGCAAUGGGGGAAACCCUGACGCAGCAACGCCGCGUGGAGGAUGAAGUCCCUUGGGACGUAAACUCCUUUCGACCGGGACGAUAAUGACGGUACCGGAAGAAGAAGCCCCGGCUAACUUCGUGCCAGCAGCCGCGGUAAUACGAGGGGGGCGAGCGUUGUUCGGAAUUAUUGGGCGUAAAGGGUGCGUAGGCGGUUCGGUAAGUUUUGUGUGAAAUCUUCGGGCUCAACUCGAAGCCUGCACAAAAUACUGCCGGGCUUGAGUGUGGGAGAGGUGAGUGGAAUUUCCGGUGUAGCGGUGAAAUGCGUAGAUAUCGGAAGGAACACCUGUGGCGAAAGCGGCUCACUGGACCAUAACUGACGCUGAUGCACGAAAGCUAGGGGAGCAAACAGGAUUAGAUACCCUCGUAGUCC
This 756-nucleotide ribosomal RNA is filed under the name uncultured bacterium. Its description in RNAcentral is "bacterial SSU rRNA". It matches the Rfam family "Bacterial small subunit ribosomal RNA", at positions 8 to 796 of the family's 1533-position model. The record is from RNAcentral.